ACGUCUACUAGCUUGGUUAGAGCGCCCCCUGAGAGGGUGAGGUCGGCAGUUCAAAUCUGCCCCUACCCACCAGUUACCUGGUGAAGUUGGUCAGAGCGCGUACCACACCCGGAUACGGUCGUUACGUCAGCUGGGACAGCGCCUGCCUUGUGCGCAGGAGGUCAGCGAUUCGAUCCCGCUUGGCUCCACCACUUACUGCUUCUGUUUGAAAGCUUAAAAAUGAGCAUUCCAUCCUGAUUGGAGGGUGCGUGA
Molecule: unclassified non-coding RNA, 252 nt
Filed under: Pseudomonas syringae pv. actinidiae
Lineage: Bacteria; Pseudomonadati; Pseudomonadota; Gammaproteobacteria; Pseudomonadales; Pseudomonadaceae
Description: partial 16S-23S ribosomal RNA intergenic spacer
Source: RNAcentral